AUGGGCGUCGGUACCAGAGGGAUCCACUUCGUGCCCGGUCCGGCCUCCGAGGAGGAGCAAGAGCGCGUCCCGCCGUCCCGGGGCUGGUACCCGGCCGCCUACGCCAGGCUGCUCCGUCUCGCGGGGUCGCUCCAAGGCGUCGACCUCGUAGAUGGCGACCUGCGGGACGCCGCGACGGGAUCCCUUGUCACCGAUGUGCACGCCCUCGCCCGGGUGGAGCACUUCGACGCCCUCGCGGGUGAGUUCGGCGCGACCCGGCGCGGGCCGCCGCUCAAGACGACGGCGCUGAGCUCGCUCGCGAAGGUGUGCGACGUUCUCGGCGUGUCGGCGCAGCGGAGGAAGAACGUGCGGCUGACGGUCUGCCCGCAGGUGACGCAGCACCACGUCUGGCGCGGCGCGCUGGAGGAGGUGCUCAGGGACCUUCGAGCAGACAUGGGCGCGCUGGAACCCCCGUCUCCGGCGAUUCGGAUGGCGGAACAGAUCGCAUCGGCCUGCGCCAGCUUCCUGUCGGAGACCGCGGACGCGGCGACGUCCUCCUCGCCGUCCUGGAUGCGCCCAACGCCGUACAGGAGGCCGUCCCCUGCGCCGCCACCGGCAAAGGCAUGGCAAGAAGUACUGGACAUGUUCACGGACCUGGGGAAGAGCCUGGCAACCGACGAGCGGCUAGCCCGGCACGCGCAGAAGGUGGAGGCCAUGAAGGAGGGGCUGUACCAGAUACGCGACAUCAUUGUCGAGAGGGACAUCGCCUUCAAGGAGGCGCGCCACCAGGACUGCCUGGUGCAGAGGAAUCUGUCCAAGAACCUGGGGCACUCGUCCCGGGGCCUCUACACGCUGCUGCUCUUCUACCUCUACGGCACUGUCCGGGACAUCGAGGUGCAUAUCGGCAAGUGCCUGACCGGCAAGGAAGGCAAGAAUGUCACCAUACACGCCGUGAAAUUCCUCGUCGACGGCGAUGAACUCGCGGUCCAGAGCGGCAUCAAGCAGCUGAGCCGCGCGCUCCGUGUCUUCAGCUUUGUCUGGGAAGCAGCAAAUACUGACACUGGGACUAUCAACGAUAUCGUCGUCAAGAAAGGUGAGGGUGCCAAGGGAGUAUUGAAGCUGCAAGGGCAUCUGUGGGGCCUUGGUGUUGAGGAGAAGACGGUGACAUACAGAGGGGAUGUUUUCAAAGUGCAUCAGAUAAAGCUGCCCUGA
Molecule: ribosomal RNA, 1191 nt
Filed under: Triticum aestivum (bread wheat)
Lineage: Eukaryota; Viridiplantae; Streptophyta; Magnoliopsida; Poales; Poaceae
Description: partial small subunit ribosomal RNA
Source: RNAcentral